This 190-nucleotide ribosomal RNA is filed under the name uncultured fungus. Its description in RNAcentral is "partial 18S ribosomal RNA". It matches the Rfam family "Eukaryotic small subunit ribosomal RNA", at positions 892 to 1078 of the family's 1831-position model. RNAcentral also lists the same sequence under 1 other name. Lineage: Eukaryota; Fungi. The record is from RNAcentral.
UAGUAUUCAAUUGUCAGAGGUGAAAUUCUUGGAUUUAUUGAAGACUAACUUCUGCGAAAGCAUUUGCCAAGGAUGUUUUCAUUAAUCAAGAACGAAAGUUAGGGGAUCGAAGACGAUCAGAUACCGUCGUAGUCUUAACCAUAAACUAUGCCGACUAGGGAUCGGACGAUGUUAAUUUUUUAAUGACUCG